CAACAUAUAGUUUAAAUUAAAAUAUUAAUUUUGGAGAUUAAUGAUAAGAAUUUCUUUUUGUUGA
This 64-nucleotide transfer RNA is filed under the name Tetraphleps aterrimus. RNAcentral's name for it is "tRNA-Pro". The record is from RNAcentral. Lineage: Eukaryota; Metazoa; Arthropoda; Insecta; Hemiptera; Anthocoridae.